Molecule: ribosomal RNA, 492 nt
Filed under: uncultured bacterium
Lineage: Bacteria
Description: partial 16S ribosomal RNA
Rfam family: Bacterial small subunit ribosomal RNA
Source: RNAcentral
AGUGAACGCUGGCGGUAGGCCUAACACAUGCAAGUCGAACGGCAGCACAGUAAGAGCUUGCUCUUACGGGUGGCGAGUGGCGGACGGGUGAGGAAUACAUCGGAAUCUACUUUUUCGUGGGGGAUAACGUAGGGAAACUUACGCUAAUACCGCAUACGACCUACGGGUGGAAGCAGGGGAUCUUCGGACCUUGCGCGAUUGAAUGAGCCGAUGUCGGAUUAGCUAGUUGGCGGGGUAAAGGCCCGCCAAGGCGACGAUCCGUAGCUGGUCUGAGAGGAUGAUCAGCCACACUGGAACUGAGACACGGUCCAGACUCCUACGGGAGGCAGCAGUGGGGAAUAUUGGACAAUGGGCGCAAGCCUGAUCCAGCCAUACCGCGUGGGUGAAGAAGGCCUUCGGGUUGUAAAGCCCUUUUGUUGGGAAAGAAAAGCAGCAGGUUAAUACCCCGCUGUUCUGACGGUACCCAAAGAAUAAGCACCGGCUAACUUCGUG